Long non-coding RNA from Rhinolophus ferrumequinum (greater horseshoe bat), 658 nucleotides. RefSeq lists it as uncharacterized. The record is from RefSeq and is a predicted model, not a curated record. Lineage: Eukaryota; Metazoa; Chordata; Mammalia; Chiroptera; Rhinolophidae. The transcript is spliced from 3 exons.
UAAUGACCAGCAGUGAUUGCAACAGAGCGAGUGUUGGGUACAAGCAAGACGUUCUUCUUCUUUCUCUGUACCAAGCACAACCCUGGGAAGGGUUUUGUGACCUACUGCCCAAGGGGUGCCGGGAAGCAGACCUACCUGCUGAGGCUGCCUCAGUCACCAACCUCCUGACGCUCUCCGAGGAGCCUGGCUCAGGCUGUCUCCUUCCUCCGUCUUGUGAGGAUACGUCUUGAAUUUUACAAGUAACACAGACUGAAUUUCAUGACCUACAUGAAAGAUCCAUUUUAUUGAAGUCCAAUGGAAGAUGAGCUGCAAAGAUUUUACACCCUUCGUCUGCCCUGUCCACACUCUGUUAAUACCUAGAACGAACGUGGGAAUGGGAUUCACUCUUCAAAGUCUUGCAUAUGCCAGAGAAAGAAGGAAGUGUGUCAGUUACUUCUUAAAAACCUUCAAAAUGAAGUCUGCUAAUUAUUGGGGAGACAGUGUCUUCUACAGAAGUUCAGGGAAAGACAGCCUGCAAGACAACAGUGAUGGGCCGUUCACCGCAGACAGAAAAACUGCAGCACAGCCAAUCUUGCUUUGAGAAAAUGCUCGUGGAAAAUUUUUUUACAAGAAAAAUUUUAUCAUCAUGCAAACAAGCGUGAGAUUCAAUAAACAAAAA